RNAcentral lists this microRNA precursor (77 nucleotides) under Myotis davidii. Its description in RNAcentral is "mir-9193 microRNA precursor family". It matches the Rfam family "mir-9193 microRNA precursor family". The record is from Rfam by way of RNAcentral. Lineage: Eukaryota; Metazoa; Chordata; Mammalia; Chiroptera; Vespertilionidae.
CAUGCACUCAAGGGGGGUUCCCUCAGUCGGGAUUGCAAGAGGGCGCAGGCCAGCCUGAGGGACCCCACUGGUGCAUG